GACAGAGGGGGCAAGCGUUGCUCGGAAUUACUGGGCGUAAAGGGCGCGUAGGCGGGAUGGCAAGUCGGUCGUGAAAUCCCUCGGCUCAACCGAGGAACGUCGAUCGAUACUGCUGUUCUUGAGGAUUGCAGAGGAGACUGGAAUUCCCGGUGUAGCGGUGAAAUGUGUAGAGAUCGGGAGGAACACCUGUGGCGAAGGCGGCCCCCUGGGCCGGCCCUGACACUGAGACGCGAAGGCGUGGGGAGCGAACGGG
RNAcentral lists this ribosomal RNA (253 nucleotides) under uncultured bacterium. Its description in RNAcentral is "partial 16S ribosomal RNA". It matches the Rfam family "Bacterial small subunit ribosomal RNA", at positions 524 to 776 of the family's 1533-position model. The record is from RNAcentral.